Molecule: ribosomal RNA, 2901 nt
Filed under: human gut metagenome
Description: bacterial LSU rRNA
Rfam family: Bacterial large subunit ribosomal RNA
Source: RNAcentral
UUAAGCGACUAAGCGUACACGGUGGAUGCCCUGGCAGUCAGAGGCGAUGAAGGACGUGCUAAUCUGCGAUAAGCGUCGGUAAGGUGAUAUGAACCGUUAUAACCGGCGAUUUCCGAAUGGGGAAACCCAGUGUGUUUCGACACACUAUCAUUAACUGAAUCCAUAGGUUAAUGAGGCGAACCGGGGGAACUGAAACAUCUAAGUACCCCGAGGAAAAGAAAUCAACCGAGAUUCCCCCAGUAGCGGCGAGCGAACGGGGAGCAGCCCAGAGCCUGAAUCAGUGUGUGUGUUAGUGGAAGCGUCUGGAAAGGCGCGCGAUACAGGGUGACAGCCCCGUACACAAAAAUGCACAUGCUGUGAGCUCGAUGAGUAGGGCGGGACACGUGGUAUCCUGUCUGAAUAUGGGGGGACCAUCCUCCAAGGCUAAAUACUCCUGACUGACCGAUAGUGAACCAGUACCGUGAGGGAAAGGCGAAAAGAACCCCGGCGAGGGGAGUGAAAAAGAACCUGAAACCGUGUACGUACAAGCAGUGGGAGCACGCUUCGGCGUGUGACUGCGUACCUUUUGUAUAAUGGGUCAGCGACUUAUAUUCUGUAGCAAGGUUAACCGAAUAGGGGAGCCGAAGGGAAACCGAGUCUUAACUGGGCGUUAAGUUGCAGGGUAUAGACCCGAAACCCGGUGAUCUAGCCAUGGGCAGGUUGAAGGUUGGGUAACACUAACUGGAGGACCGAACCGACUAAUGUUGAAAAAUUAGCGGAUGACUUGUGGCUGGGGGUGAAAGGCCAAUCAAACCGGGAGAUAGCUGGUUCUCCCCGAAAGCUAUUUAGGUAGCGCCUCGUGAAUUCAUCUCCGGGGGUAGAGCACUGUUUCGGCAAGGGGGUCAUCCCGACUUACCAACCCGAUGCAAACUGCGAAUACCGGAGAAUGUUAUCACGGGAGACACACGGCGGGUGCUAACGUCCGUCGUGAAGAGGGAAACAACCCAGACCGCCAGCUAAGGUCCCAAAGUCAUGGUUAAGUGGGAAACGAUGUGGGAAGGCCCAGACAGCCAGGAUGUUGGCUUAGAAGCAGCCAUCAUUUAAAGAAAGCGUAAUAGCUCACUGGUCGAGUCGGCCUGCGCGGAAGAUGUAACGGGGCUAAACCAUGCACCGAAGCUGCGGCAGCGACACUAUGUGUUGUUGGGUAGGGGAGCGUUCUGUAAGCCUGCGAAGGUGUGCUGUGAGGCAUGCUGGAGGUAUCAGAAGUGCGAAUGCUGACAUAAGUAACGAUAAAGCGGGUGAAAAGCCCGCUCGCCGGAAGACCAAGGGUUCCUGUCCAACGUUAAUCGGGGCAGGGUGAGUCGACCCCUAAGGCGAGGCCGAAAGGCGUAGUCGAUGGGAAACAGGUUAAUAUUCCUGUACUUGGUGUUACUGCGAAGGGGGGACGGAGAAGGCUAUGUUAGCCGGGCGACGGUUGUCCCGGUUUAAGCAUGUAGGCUGGUUAUCCAGGCAAAUCCGGAUAAUCAAGGCUGAGGUGUGAUGACGAGUCACUACGGUGAUGAAGUAACAAAUGCCCUGCUUCCAGGAAAAGCCUCUAAGCAUCAGGUAACACGAAAUCGUACCCCAAACCGACACAGGUGGUCAGGUAGAGAAUACCAAGGCGCUUGAGAGAACUCGGGUGAAGGAACUAGGCAAAAUGGUGCCGUAACUUCGGGAGAAGGCACGCUGAUAUGUAGGUGAAGCGACUUGCUCGUGGAGCUGAAAUCAGUCGAAGAUACCAGCUGGCUGCAACUGUUUAUUAAAAACACAGCACUGUGCAAACACGAAAGUGGACGUAUACGGUGUGACGCCUGCCCGGUGCCGGAAGGUUAAUUGAUGGGGUUAGCGCAAGCGAAGCUCUUGAUCGAAGCCCCGGUAAACGGCGGCCGUAACUAUAACGGUCCUAAGGUAGCGAAAUUCCUUGUCGGGUAAGUUCCGACCUGCACGAAUGGCGUAAUGAUGGCCAGGCUGUCUCCACCCGAGACUCAGUGAAAUUGAACUCGCUGUGAAGAUGCAGUGUACCCGCGGCAAGACGGAAAGACCCCGUGAACCUUUACUAUAGCUUGACACUGAACAUUGAGCCUUGAUGUGUAGGAUAGGUGGGAGGCUUUGAAGUGUGGACGCCAGUCUGCAUGGAGCCGACCUUGAAAUACCACCCUUUAAUGUUUGAUGUUCUAACGUGGACCCGUGAUCCGGGUUGCGGACAGUGUCUGGUGGGUAGUUUGACUGGGGCGGUCUCCUCCUAAAGAGUAACGGAGGAGCACGAAGGUUGGCUAAUCCUGGUCGGACAUCAGGAGGUUAGUGCAAUGGCAUAAGCCAGCUUGACUGCGAGCGUGACGGCGCGAGCAGGUGCGAAAGCAGGUCAUAGUGAUCCGGUGGUUCUGAAUGGAAGGGCCAUCGCUCAACGGAUAAAAGGUACUCCGGGGAUAACAGGCUGAUACCGCCCAAGAGUUCAUAUCGACGGCGGGGUUUGGCACCUCGAUGUCGGCUCAUCACAUCCUGGGGCUGAAGUAGGUCCCAAGGGUAUGGCUGUUCGCCAUUUAAAGUGGUACGCGAGCUGGGUUUAGAACGUCGUGAGACAGUUCGGUCCCUAUCUGCCGUGGGCGCUGGAGAACUGAGGGGGGCUGCUCCUAGUACGAGAGGACCGGAGUGGACGCAUCACUGGUGUUCGGGUUGUCAUGCCAAUGGCACUGCCCGGUAGCUAAAUGCGGAAGAGAUAAGUGCUGAAAGCAUCUAAGCACGAAACUUGCCCCGAGAUGAGUUCUCCCUGACUCCUUGAGAGUCCUGAAGGAACGUUGAAGACGACGACGUUGAUAGGCCGGGUGUGUAAGCGCAGCGAUGCGUUGAGCUAACCGGUACUAAUGAACCGUGAGGCUUAACCUU